GCCCAGGUGGCGGAACUGGUAGACGCACUACCUUGAGGUGGUAGCGCCGAAAGGCGUGGGGGUUCGAGUCCCCCCUUGGGCA
RNAcentral lists this transfer RNA (82 nucleotides) under Rhodanobacter lindaniclasticus. It matches the Rfam family "tRNA". Rfam says of the family: Transfer RNA (tRNA) molecules are approximately 80 nucleotides in length. Their secondary structure includes four short double-helical elements and three loops (D, anti-codon, and T loops). The record is from Rfam by way of RNAcentral. Lineage: Bacteria; Pseudomonadati; Pseudomonadota; Gammaproteobacteria; Lysobacterales; Rhodanobacteraceae.